UACCACUGUAUGCAAGCGUUAUCCGGAAUUAUUGGGCGUAAAGCGUUUGUAGGCGGGCGAGUGUGUUUAAUGUUAAAUCUUAAAGCUCAACUUUGAAAUUGCGUUAAAAACUGCUUGUCUUGAGUAUGGUAGGGGUAAAGGGAAUUCCCAGUGUAGCGGUGAAAUGCGUAGAUAUUGGGAAGAACACUAAACAGCGAAGGCACUUUACUAGGCUAAUACUGACGCUGAGAAACGAAAGGUAAGGUAGCGAAACGGAUUAGAUACCCGUGUAGUCUUACCCGUAAACUAUGGACACUAAACGGUAAAUUUUUAAUUUACUGUUAAAGCUAACGCGUUAAGUGUCCCGCCUGGGGAGUAUGCUUGCAAAAGUGAAACUCAAAGGAAUUGACGGGGGCCCGCACAAGCGGUGGAGCAUGUGGUUUAAUUCGACGGUACACGAAGAACCUUACCAGGAUUUGACAUGCUAGAUAGUUGCUUGAAAGAGUAACGUGCCGUACGGAAUCUAGACACAGGUGGUGCAUGGCUGUCGUCAGUUCGUGUUGUGAAAUGUUGGGUUAAGUCCCGCAACGAACGCAACCCUUGUCUUUAGUUAUUUUCUAAAGAGACUGCCUGUAAUAAACAGGAGGAAGGUAAGGAUGAGGUCAAGUCAUCAUGCCCCUUAUGUCCUGGGCUACACACGUGCUACAAUGGGAAAGACAAUGAGCUGCAAAUCUGUAAAUUUAAGCAAAUCUCUUAAACUUUCUCGUAGUUCGGAUUGUGGGCUGCAACUCGCCCACAUGAAGUUGGAAUCGCUAGUAAUCGCCAGUCAGCUAUAUGGCGGUGAAUCCGUUCCCGGGCCU
RNAcentral lists this ribosomal RNA (839 nucleotides) under uncultured bacterium. RNAcentral describes it as "bacterial SSU rRNA". It matches the Rfam family "Bacterial small subunit ribosomal RNA", at positions 523 to 1381 of the family's 1533-position model. The record is from RNAcentral.